GAACAAUUUUGUAUUUCUUAACACAAAUUAAUGCAUUAAUAAACACUACUUGAGUAGUGAUUGCUCUUUGAAGGUCAGAAAGAUGAAAAAAAUGCUUAAUAUGAAAGAGAACACAUAAAAUGUUCUUCUUCAACAGGACAAAAGUCUGAAAGAAGCAAACUAAAGCACAAGGGUCUGAAGUGGAAAAGAAGCUGUGUGGUCAGUCAGGCCCACCUACCCCAGGUAGACCAUGCACCAAGGCCUUCAGCAAGGAGGGACCAAGGAAGGUUAAUACUGGUAAGAGCAUAACUGGUAUUCAUCAGGCUAGAGAAAACUUAGGGGACUCUCACAUACAGCAGUACACCUUCCCUGCCAGUCCCAUGAGGCAGAGGUUCAACUGUCUUAUUUGGAUCAAGGCUUUAUGCCCUGCAUAUAGUGUAAGCACUACCUCAUUUACGCAAACAUCACACAAUCAGGAAAUAAACAAGGAGAGAAGGCACCAGCAAGGUCCAUCUUCCCACACUGGUGUAUCACGUAAGUCAAGAACAACUCCACAGAACCAGUGGAGCUGAACAGGCUUUUAACUUCUGUUAGAGAGCUUAUGGCACACCAUGUACACAGCUUGCUCACGGAGCCAUGUCAACACAACUCCUUAAAAGCUCAAGACUCAAAAUAUUAGAGGCAGAAGAAGUACUACUGCCAACUCACUGUUUCCUUUUUGGCAGUCACAGAAGCGAGUGGGUAAAUGAAUGAAUGCUGGAUAAUGAUGAGGACAGGCAUAAGCAUCACUAAUAUUUUCUGAUUAUGUAAAAGGUAAAUUGUCAUCAUUAGUGUGACAGAAACACAGGUCCAGUUUUAACAGUCAUUACAGGAAACACUGUGCAAGCAUAUGACAAUGCAGCAGCUGGAAACGGUAGAAAUUAUUCGGAAAUAUUCAGAAGUAUCAGUUAAUACUUCACAAAAUUGGUUGGAAAAUAGAGUAUAUUAUGUUUAUAUAAUUUUGACAACCUCUUCAGCUUUUGACUCACCUGACUCAUUAUAACUUCAACACACUUCCAGCUAGAACUGUGAAAUGAACUAUUUGGAUCAUAAUAGGACUGGUGAAUAACAAAUCAGUAAGAAACAGCACCACAAGCUAGUAUCUCUGUGUGUAAAGGAAAAACCAGCAGACAGUUGUAAAGAUUAGUAUGAAAUAUGUAAAUGAUUUGAAGUAGAGAAUUUCUCAGGAAGAAGGUUCCCUAACAAUAAGGCACUAAGCACAAUGCCGGAGAUUAACAUUCAAACUUACUUUAUAUCUAUUUUGGGGACCAUAUUUAGAAAAUAAUUCUUAUAGAGAAUAUAAAAGUUUAUUUGAUAAAUGCAUAUAAAAAGGAGAACAUAAAUGAUGCUUUUUCAAUGACUAAUUUUUAAGAUCUUGAGGUAGGCAUAUUUCAUGGAGGAUGGGGAGUGGAAAUGUCUACUUUAUUACAGUUAGGACCAUGGGUACUAAGAAGUAAAUACAUACAGUUUUAAAUUUUUAGUUCAUUAUCAUUUAGAAAAUAGAAGCCAGAUCUAAAAAGCUGUAAAAUCAUGUAAGCAACAGGGAAGAUCAAAUGGGAAAGCAAAUAAGGAAGUGUUUAGAGAUUUUCCGCGACUAAAAAGGAAAUUACCUUGCUUUACAAAUGAAGAUAAGGAUGACCUUACACACAAGAUCAACCUCUGUAGCCACUGACCUGCUACAUUAGCAUGACAUGCAUAUGAGAUGACCCAGCAGAUACGAGGCCCAUUUUCAGGGAAUCCUGCAACUCAGGACUUCCUCUGCAGUUUGUUUCAGCUUGGGUCAUGUUAUUAUGACAUUACUCCUAGAAGCAUCCCCCAGAUCCCCGUAUUUCCCAGAGUUCAUUCUAUAUGACAGAGGAAGAACCCAUGUAGAUUAGCACUGCCUGUGCCAGAAAUCAGCCUAUGGGUUGUACUUUUUUUUUUUCUUCUGAAAAUUGGAAGGACAGCAGCAGCAAAGGUAGCCAUAGCUUGUUUAGUAUGUUCUUGGUGCUUACAUUCUUACUGCAUCGCUCCUGUUCCUCAUAUGGCAACAAGCAACACAAUCAUUUACAAGUCCCAGCAUAUAUGAUAAUAGCUUAAUUACAUUUUGCAUGGAUAGAUCAGGUCUGAUUGUAACCAUUAACAGACAUGCUUGCAAAGCUUCUAGGCAUUUCACAUCUUGUACUACGCCAGAUCACAUUUCAAUUGCAUUGGUGGUGGGGAGUUAAGAUAGAUGAUGCCAAAUCACUGUUCCCUCAUCCUGCUCUCUCUGUUGCUAUGUUGUAAUUUAACCACAGCAGAGGCCCACCACACAACAUCCAUGUAAGACUGCAAUGGAUUACUGCAGUGGCACACACAGCCUUUAUGAGGUGCAGUUAAUUUUUUAUUUUAUUUAAAAUCUAUUUUAUAUUUAAAGUCUAUUUAUCAUUCCAUCUCUACACUUAAAUAAGGAAAAAUAGUAAAUUUAUUAGGAAUUUUCAUUCUGUGACAAAUAAGUGAAAAAUUCUCAUGAAACUUUGGCUUGUUAUAUUAAAUACAGGUAACCUGCAAGACAAAGAUACUUCAAACUGAGUUGCUCACAGUCAAACAGAAGAUCAAGCAUGGAAUUUUAAUUCUGGUGAAACCAGUCUCCUAGAUUCAAAUAGGAGUUCCUAUUUCCAUGUUCCAGACAACACAAAACAAUCAGUUUAUGAGGAAAUUUAGAUUAAAAGCUGUGGAUAAUUGUACUUGACCUUCAGUAAGUGUAAGAUUACAAAAAAUAAAAUUACUUUAACUUUGUUUUUAAACUUCACUGCAGGUUACAGUAAUUUUAUAACCUCAAUUUAAAUGUUUAAUUACCUAUAUAUAAAUGUCUUUUUCACUCUCGCUCUAUAAAGCAGAAUGCAACGAGAGGAAAAAAGCAACAAAUGCAGACUAAUAGACUGCCGAAUCAUUAAUCAGCAUGUCAAUAUACUGAAAUCCCUGGGAAUAACCUAAUGGUCAAAAAAUCUAGGCUUUCAUAACUUCAUAAAUAAAUCCAAAUGCAGUUUAGGCUCCUUCAGACAACACAGCUUCCAAAUAUGUUUUCUUUCCUACUUUUACUGAAAACCAGCUUAUCAGAUGUAAAAGCAAUGUGUGAACCAAAAAUUUAUUGCUUUUCAAAAUACAGAAAUAAAUUCGGAAGUACAUGAAUGAAUGCAGACAUUGUUCUGAGGAUCUUAUCUAUAUUACCUUUAAGACAGCACUAAACCCCAGCAUUUCUCAGGCUCAAAUAAAAUACUUAUUCUUACAUAAAAUUGGCCUUCACAUUUUUUAGUCUGCUUCCCGCAUCUUGAUAGCACUAUAGUCUCUCACAGUUAUGGAGACCUUUCCUAAGAGAAUCACUUCUAAAGAAGCAGUUCAGUUCCCUAAGAUCAGGUUUCCAUUUUGGAGGCCCUGUACACCUCUUACUGCCACACUGAUAACAGUUCCACGAUUAGGUGAAAUCAGUUGGGCUGCCCAAAGAAAACUCAUCUUGUGGUUUUGAAGGGAGAAGUGAAAGACCAAGACUGAAACUCAUCCAGUUCAGAAGAUACCUUAAUGUCAUGUUAUCAUCCUGAUUUUAGGAGGUCUUCUGUACAACACAAAACAAACAACCUGUUGCUACAGUUACCAAGUUCACUGGGACAUGAAUCAUCAAGGCAUGUUGAAACAUGGAAAGUUCAGAAGUCCUAUCUACCUUCGACUCUCUCCUCCCAGUGCUGCAGAAGCAGCAAAGGAUGCUGGAGCAUACCCUAUGGGAAGAGCCAAACUUGGUG
Long non-coding RNA from Neopsephotus bourkii (Bourke's parrot), 3773 nucleotides. RefSeq lists it as uncharacterized. The record is from RefSeq and is a predicted model, not a curated record. Lineage: Eukaryota; Metazoa; Chordata; Aves; Psittaciformes; Psittacidae. The transcript has 3 exons.